Molecule: long non-coding RNA, 453 nt
Organism: Coffea eugenioides
Lineage: Eukaryota; Viridiplantae; Streptophyta; Magnoliopsida; Gentianales; Rubiaceae
Exons: 2
Source: RefSeq, a predicted model, not a curated record
UUGAUUGAAAGAUUAAAAUGAGGCCUCCGAAUUAGAAGUGCUUUACAACAGUUAGAAAGCUAACUUCUAAAGAUGGCAUCGAUUAAGAUUGAGAAACCAGCUGGUUCUCAAGCACAGCCACCGCCUGGGCAGGUUAAGAAAGAGCCUGCCAAAGCUCCAGCCUCCAAACCAGCCCCUAAGAAGACCGAGCAGAAGCCUCGGGAGCCAAGGAAAAAGGCAUCAGGUGGCAAGUCAGCUGCAGCAAAGAACUAAGAACAAGGAUGAUUGACUUGCUGUUACAAAUAUUGUAAUAUAGUAAGUAUGACACUAUGACAGUCAGUUAAGGUUUUGCCUGUUCCCGGCUGUCCCUUAGUUUACCGAAGUUAUACCACCGCUGGAUUGUAAUCCAUCUAUGUAACUUUUCCCUUCCUAGCUUGGCCUAAUAAUCACAUAUAAAUCUUAUUACGAUAUUAA